UCCUCGGAAGGGUACCUCAUUCCCUCAUAUUUUCCUAUAUGGUAUGAGCCGCCUCCUAAUUCCUCACGGAACUUGAUCCGAUCUACUCACCUCUUCUCCAUGGCGGACUCCUCGGCGCCGCUGGCCUUCGGCCUCCUUCCCCCCGUCUCGGAGAAGCUUACUCGUGGGAAUUACAACAUGUGGCAUGCCACCGUUACGUCUGCGCUGAAGGGUGCUCGUCUGUUCGGCUAUGUUCAGUCAACGGCGGCGCCCCCAUCUCCGUUCCUCUCCGACGCCGGCUCGGCGUCAUCUGCGGCGGGUGCUGCGAAGGAAGAGCCCAGGCCGAAUCCGGCGUAUGAGAAGUGGGUGUCUGAGGAUCAGUGGCGGAUCCAGAAAUGGACCAAGAGGGGGGCUAAAUAAUAUAGGCUAAUUUUUUUUCUCGCUCAAUCCUGUACACUAAGGCCUUGUUUAGUUUCAAAUUAUUUUGCAAAAUAGGAAUAGUAGCAUUUUCGUUUGUAUUUGACAAAUAUUGUCCGAUCAUGGACUAACUAGGCUCAAGAGAUUCGUCUCGCAAAUUACAGGUAGACUGUGUAAUUAGUUAUUUCUUUUAUCUAUAUUUAGUGCUUCAUACAUGUGCAACAAGAUUCGAUGUGAUGGAAAAUCUGAGAAAUUUUGUAAAAUCUUUUGGGAACUAAACAAGGC
RNAcentral lists this long non-coding RNA (681 nucleotides) under Sorghum bicolor (sorghum). Its description in RNAcentral is "long non-coding RNA (SBIC_LNC001120)". The record is from RNAcentral. Lineage: Eukaryota; Viridiplantae; Streptophyta; Magnoliopsida; Poales; Poaceae.